Molecule: long non-coding RNA, 1100 nt
Filed under: Polistes fuscatus (common paper wasp)
Lineage: Eukaryota; Metazoa; Arthropoda; Insecta; Hymenoptera; Vespidae
Description: uncharacterized LOC122521653
Source: RNAcentral
GGCUCUAGAUAUUUAGCGAUUAUCGUGGUGCUGUUAUUCGCUCCUCCCCACUCUUCAAACCGCAGCUAAGCAUGCCCUACUAGGUCCAUUAGUAAAGACACUCGUCCUAUUCUUCCACUUGAUGCCCACGAGGACAGAUUUUGAGUGACGGGAAGACGAUACAUACAGGCAAAUCUUUCACUUACGCGCGAGAGGUAUAUCACUGCGAAAUCGGCACACCGACGAGAAAGAGAGUAAGCGAAGUGUAAAAGAACUCUUUACAUUUCCAUAGACAAGCGAGUGGUGAGAUUCAUUAUUGUAUCUAUAUACAAACGAAGCGAGCGAGAGAUGAGCCGCGUGUCCAAUCUUUGGAGGACACCAUUCCUUAUUGUAUCGAAUCCAUCAACCAGGGUUUUUAAGCCGCAAAGUCUUUUCCUGACAAGCCAAUGAACUUAUCACAAUCGCCACAGAACUCCAUGUUGGAGAAUUCUACACCCAAUACACAUACUAUAUGCAAUCUACUCUGCUAACUUACCUACCUCAGAGGAAGUAACUACGGCAAUAUUUGCGGACUAUACAGCUUUGUAAUCAUCGGACUGCGAUCUCUUCAACGCGACUGAUAUGCUUCAACGUCAUUUGCGAAUAAUAGAAAGUUGAUGUCACAAAAAUGGCGUGUAAAUAUAAAUAAAAGUAAAUCGGCGCAUAUAACCAUCACGCUGCGUAAGAUCACAUAUUCUCCUGUGACCAUAAAUGGAGCAGCUAUAUCAACCAAAGAUACGGUCAAAUACCUAAUAACAUUAUAGAUUCUGAGGGGUACAAUUCACGUUGUGUUAUCCCUUCACUGGUGGUGCGAACCACGCUACUCCGGAACAUUUUGUAUUUACGUUUCCCAAGGAUAGUUUAGGAAUGGAUGUGACUUUAGAUCUCCGUUAUCGUGUAAGAGCUCAAUGAUGGAUAGAACGUAUUUUCUGAGAUGUACACAGUGAAAUGCAUAUGCUGUUACAUAUGUACGGAAUAUGUAAUAAAAUUAACGCAUAUGCAUUAUACGGAAAUUAUGCAAAAUAACAAACACAUUUUCGAUAAAUAUAAAUGAUGUAAUAAACUUCUGUCCAAAUUCAAAA